GAUGAAGAACGCAGUGAAAUGCGAUACGUAAUGUGAAUUGCAAAUUCAGUGAAUCAUCGAGUCUUUGAACGCACAUUGCGCCCCCUGGUAUUCCGGGGGGCAUGCCUGUCCGAGCGUCAUUGCUGCCCUCAAGCACGGCUUGUGUGUUGGGCCCCGUCCUCCGAUCCCGGGGGAAGGGCGCGAAAGGCAGCGGCGGCACCGCGUCCGGUCCUCGAGCGUAUGGGGCUUUGUCACCCGCUCUGUAGGCCCGGCCGGCGCUUGCCGAUCAACCCAAAUUUUUUAUCCAGGUUGACCUCGGAUCAGGUAGGGAUACCCGCUGAACUUAAGCAUAUCAAUAAGCGGAGGA
Molecule: unclassified non-coding RNA, 346 nt
Filed under: soil metagenome
Description: partial contains 5.8S ribosomal RNA, internal transcribed spacer 2, and large subunit ribosomal RNA
Rfam family: 5.8S ribosomal RNA (bases 1-119)
Source: RNAcentral